GUCAAAACGACUUUCAACAACGGAUAUCUGGCUCUCGCAUCAAUGAAGAACGUGGCGAAAUGCGAUACUUGGUGUGAAUUGCAUAAUCCCGUGAAGCAUCGAGUCUUUGAACGCCAGUUGCGCCCGAAGCCUUCGGGCUGAGGGCACACCUGCCUGGGCAUCACGCAUCGCGUCGC
Molecule: ribosomal RNA, 176 nt
Filed under: Dyschoriste albiflora
Lineage: Eukaryota; Viridiplantae; Streptophyta; Magnoliopsida; Lamiales; Acanthaceae
Description: 5.8S ribosomal RNA
Rfam family: 5.8S ribosomal RNA (bases 9-163)
About the family: 5.8S ribosomal RNA (5.8S rRNA) is a component of the large subunit of the eukaryotic ribosome. It is transcribed by RNA polymerase I as part of the 45S precursor that also contains 18S and 28S rRNA.
Source: RNAcentral